Aegilops tauschii subsp. strangulata is the source of this 2020-nucleotide non-coding RNA. The record is from RefSeq and is a predicted model, not a curated record. NCBI's taxonomy places the organism in Eukaryota, Viridiplantae, Streptophyta, Magnoliopsida, Poales, Poaceae.
AUAUAUAAAUCCCUUCCUUUACGUACGUAAUUAAGCGUCAGUAUGAUUAUUACUCCCUCCAUCACAGUAUAUAGGGCGCCGAUGGCGUCGCUCUGGGACCAAGGUGCCUUCUGAUAGGCAGGGAUUAAGGAGUCGGUUGUGCUGCGAAAUUGAUGGCAAGGUGCCUAAUGAAUCGCUAAAAUGACGCUUGGUAACCUCCCCGUUCAAUAAAAACUGAAACAGAGUGCAUGCAUUGGUGGAGCCGUUUCUGAGCGAAAUUUUAGCGGGUUUCUUCCUCCUCCCGCGCCAUUCCUUUCUCCCCCGCUCGGUUUCCAUCUCCCGCCGAUCUGCUGCCAAAUACAAAACGAAAAUUUCGGAGUUCAAAGCUCCCGCCGAUCCGCUCUAUAAUUAGCUGCGGCGAUGGAGGGACACGUACAGACGGCAUCUUCUCUCCUCCCUCCUCUCUCCAAUGGCGCCGCCGCAGCAAUGUGCAGAUCGCCGGCCUCCUCCUCUUGGCCUCCGUGGGCUUUCUAGGGUUGCUUUCCAGCCGAGAUCGCCGCCGCCCGGAGGUCUUCCUCCUCUUGGUCUCACCGGACGCUCUGGUGCUCCUUCCUUCUCCAUCGGCACGGCAGGUUUCGAGCGUCUUCCUCCUCCUACAACUUUGCCUCGACGGCGCGUCGGCCUCACACGCCCAUCUCGCGCUCCGGCACCUAAUGAGGCCGGUUCCUCGAACUGGAGUGCCUCCGUCGGCGAGGCCGGUACAGGCAGCGGAGGGUUCGUGGGGUUUCACCUCAUCAAUGGCAGCGGCGGGAUCUCGUUUGGCGGUGGCGGUGGCGGUGGCAGCGGGAUAUCGUUUGGCGGCGGCGGCAGCGGGAAAUUAGACGAAUAACGAGUGAAUUGAAGCCUGCCUUGACUGCUGCAAAUGAAAGGGCUCGUGUGGAGUAUGCUCUAAAGCAUCUUGAGCCAUGUAGCCUAACGUCCCUAGGCGGUAUCAAACCCACAUUUAGGGCUGAUAUGGAUCUGGUUCAUAUAGAUGAGAAAUGGUUUUAUCGCACGCGGAAGACCCAGAACAUGUAUUUGAGCCAUAGAGAGAAUGCACCACACCGGGAAUGUAAACAUAAAAACCACAUUCAAAAAAUUAUGUUCUUGUCCGCAAUGGCUAGACCGAGGUAUGCUGCUCAAGGCAAUUGUGUUUUUGAUGGCAAGAUUGGGGUUUGGGCUUACACAGAAAUGGUGCAAGCUCAAAAAAAGAGUCAAAACAGCUCCGCACUUGUUUUUGUUACUACUCCUACUUUGUGCUAAAAUUUUAUGUGCACAUUAUUUACUUUGUUUCUAUAUCCAUAAGGUUGAGAGGGACAUGGGAGCUCAAGCCUUGCCAUACAGUGGACAGGGAGAAAAGUCGGGAAUACUUAGUGAAAUACGUACUGCCGGCUAUAAAGGAAAAGUGGCCUGAGAGCGAUAGAUGGAACACUAUCUACGUACAGCAAGACAAUGCUAGGACUCAUAUAAAACCAGAUGAUCCACUUUUUUUGCAGGAAGCUGCUAGGGGUGGUUGGGAUAUUAGGAUGAUAUACCAACCACCUAAUUCUCCCGACACAAACAUAUUAGAUCUUGGUUGGUUUGCCUCAAUUCAAGCCAUGUUCCAUAGAAAGAUGCCCAAGACCCUAGCCGAGAUUGUCCAAAAGGUUAAUCAAUCCCUAGCUGAGUACCCCCAUCAAAAGCUCAACAGGAUCUGGUUGAGUCAUCAAGCGUGCAUGAGAGAGAUCAUCAAGCACAAAGGGUCUAUCCACUACGCAGUUCCUCACUUGAAGAAAAAAGCAUUAGAGAGACAAGGACUUCUCUCGGUUCGUUUGACGAUUGAUCUAGAAUAUGUUGAGCAAGCAAUUGAGUUCUUGAACUCAACAUGAUUUGUACUGCCUCAUGUGAUGGUGCUACUAUUCGAGUAUUAGUUUCAUUAAUCUUAUCAAAAAAAUUGUGGACUGUUUUGAACUGAAAAUUUACACCGUAGGGUUUAUCAUGGAACCAUUUUCAUAUAACGUUA